UUAGAGUUUGAUCCUGGCUCAGGAUGAACGCUAUCGGCAGGCUUAACACAUGCAAGUCGAGGGGCAGCGAGAUCAGUGCUUGCACUGAUUGUCGGCGACCGGCGCACGGGUGCGUAACGCGUAUGCAACCUACCCAUUACAGGGGGAUAACACUGAGAAAUCGGUACUAAUACCCCAUAACAUCCAGGGAGGCAUCUUCUUGGGUUGAAAACUCCGGUGGUAAUGGAUGGGCAUGCGUUGUAUUAGUUAGUUGGUGGGGUAACGGCUCACCAAGACAACGAUACAUAGGGGGACUGAGAGGUUAACCCCCCACAUUGGUACUGAGACACGGACCAAACUCCUACGGGAGGCAGCAGUGAGGAAUAUUGGUCAAUGGACGCAAGUCUGAACCAGCCAUGCCGCGUGCAGGAAGACGGCUCUAUGAGUUGUAAACUGCUUUUGUACGAGGGUAAACGCAGAUACGCGUAUCUGUCUGAAAGUAUCGUACGAAUAAGGAUCGGCUAACUCCGUGCCAGCAGCCGCGGUAAUACGGAGGAUUCAAGCGUUAUCCGGAUUUAUUGGGUUUAAAGGGUGCGUAGGCGGUCGGAUAAGUUAGAGGUGAAAUCCCGGGGCUCAACUUCGGAAUUGCCUCUGAUACUGUUCGGCUAGAGAGUAGUUGCGGUAGGCGGAAUGUAUGGUGUAGCGGUGAAAUGCUUAGAGAUCAUACAGAACACCGAUUGCGAAGGCAGCUUACCAAGCUACUUCUGACGUUGAGGCACGAAAGCGUGGGGAGCAAACAGGAUUAGAUACCCUGGUAGUCCACGCAGUAAACGAUGAUAACUCGUUGUCGGCGAUACAGUGUCGGUGACUAAGCGAAAGCGAUAAGUUAUCCACCUGGGGAGUACGUUCGCAAGAAUGAAACUCAAAGGAAUUGACGGGGGCCCGCACAAGCGGAGGAACAUGUGGUUUAAUUCGAUGAUACGCGAGGAACCUUACCCGGGCUUGAAAGUUAGUGACGGAUCUUGAAAGAGGUCUUCCCUUCGGGGCACGAAACUAGGUGCUGCAUGGUUGUCGUCAGCUCGUGCCGUGAGGUGUCGGGUUAAGUCCCAUAACGAGCGCAACCCCUACCGUUAGUUGCCAGCAGGUCAAGCUGGGCACUCUGACGGGACUGCCGGUGUAAGCCGAGAGGAAGGUGGGGAUGACGUCAAAUCAGCACGGCCCUUACGUCCGGGGCUACACACGUGUUACAAUGGCAGGUACAGAGGGCAGCUACCCAGCGAUGGGAUGCGAAUCUCGAAAGCCUGUCUCAGUUCGGAUUGGAGGCUGAAACCCGCCUCCAUGAAGUUGGAUUCGCUAGUAAUCGCGCAUCAGCCAUGGCGCGGUGAAUACGUUCCCGGGCCUUGCACACACCGCCCGUCAAG
RNAcentral lists this ribosomal RNA (1400 nucleotides) under uncultured bacterium. Its description in RNAcentral is "bacterial SSU rRNA". It matches the Rfam family "Bacterial small subunit ribosomal RNA". The record is from RNAcentral.